Musa acuminata subsp. malaccensis (wild Malaysian banana) is the source of this 535-nucleotide long non-coding RNA. RefSeq lists it as uncharacterized. The record is from RefSeq and is a predicted model, not a curated record. NCBI's taxonomy places the organism in Eukaryota, Viridiplantae, Streptophyta, Magnoliopsida, Zingiberales, Musaceae.
ACCUCAACGUAUGCUGUACGUCCGCUAAAUAUAUACCACCACGAGUCAAACCUAUCGAUGUAGACGAUGGCCUAUAAAUACUCCGUACGACGCCGGAGGCCUCUUCAUCUCGAGUCCAACCUUUCUCCUCACUUCCUGCAGGCAGAUAGACGCGAUGGCUUCACUGAAGAUUCACGCUCUCCUCUUUGCUUACGCUUUGCUCGCGGUUCUCUUGCACCCUUGUCUUUGCCAAGACAUCGCAACCUCGACGAUGACCAGCUCAAGGAAGUUUGAUGGGAAGGCCAUCGAUCAAGGAAUUGCUUAUGUCUUGAUGCUUCUCGCGCUCUUCGUUACCUACCUCGUCCAUUGAGCUUCUUCGCUCGUAGCAGUGCAAUUGUUUGGAUGGAGAGACCCUUCAAAUAUUCUGUAAUUUGAUCGCUUUUAUCUUCUCUUCUCUUGCUAAUUCUUCAUUGGAGUUUGUUAGCGACUGGUCUCGAUGUUUUCGAUCAUUAAGAUUUGUCGACUAUGAAAUCGAAAAGAACAAAUUAAAAGUUAA